UUUUUAUUAAGGAUUAUAUACUUUUAAAUUACUGAUUUAAGGAUUGAUUAUGGUAAUUAGGGAUCAGCAUCCAUUAAUAAAAUACGAACUUAUAUGAAUUUGAUAAUUUAUAUAUGUGAUGAUUUAUUUUUUUUAUUUUCAAUAGAUGAUGCACUCAAAAUAUAUUUUGAGUCCAUUAAUUUAUUGUGGAGAAUUUAACACUGAAGUGUUAAAUAUGAAUCUUUUAUCGAUUGUUUACUUAAGCCCAUGAGUAAUUUAAUUUAUGUUAGAGGCAAGCUCAAGUGAAUUUUAUGCUUCAAUGAGAAUUAGGCUUAUAUAUCUUAAUGUGUUUAUAUGAGAUUAAGCACAUAUGGUUCUCAUUCAUCCACAUCCCUCUCAUUCUUCUAUUAAACCAAUCACCAAUACGUUCACAAUUUUCUUCACCUACUACUUCACAAUUUUCUUCACCAAUACGUUCACAAUUUUCUUCACCUACUACUUCACAAUUUUCUUCACCAAUACGUUCACAAUUUUCUUCACCUACUACUUCACAAUUUUCUUCACCUCUGAAGUCAAUCUCCAAAUAGAAUUUUGCUUCUUUAAAACCUAUUCCACUAUCUCAACUCACCCAUUCCCACCUCUGCAGCAAGUUUUAUAAAGUAAUAGAGUGAAGAUUAUUCAUCUCAUUCAAUUCUUCUUCACAAUUGGCUUCUAAUCUAUGCCAUAUAUAAAAUCUGCAGAGACUAAUACCAUACACCUAUUCAAGGUUCAAAUAAACAAAAGCGUCUGAGUAACCUAUCGCGCUAAGGAAAGAGAAUCGUUGUCUUAAGUAGCAAAACACUGCAAUCAGGUUGAGCUGAUGUGAUGAUGGUGCUGCAAUGAGCGGAGUCUCCAGGGUUGUUAAUAAAUAGUUAACCUGUCUAGAAUAUGUCUUCAUACAUAUGUCUAGCUACUUUCCGCUGCAAGAUGUUGUUGAUGUUAUAGUAUGUUAUGUCAUACUUUGAGUCUUAAGAGAAUGGUUUCAUAUGAUGUAUAACUUGAUUAAUGAUAUUAAUUAAGUUUUAUGCUGUCUUUCA
This is a long non-coding RNA of Salvia miltiorrhiza (redroot sage), 1055 nucleotides long. RefSeq lists it as uncharacterized. The transcript is spliced from 3 exons. The record is from RefSeq and is a predicted model, not a curated record. Lineage: Eukaryota; Viridiplantae; Streptophyta; Magnoliopsida; Lamiales; Lamiaceae.